CCCUGAGCAAGGCAGGGUUCACGAGCAGCGAACCAAAGCUCUGCUUGGAGUCGAUACCCAUAGCCCUUUCCAAGACGACCGCCAGCGACACAACCACUAAAUCCAUCACCGCGUUCUCCUCCUCAGAGUCCCUAUGGAAAUGCAUUACGGAGAGAAUAAUCCAGGGUCCUCCAGGUGGAAUAAUAUUUGAUACUCAGCCUUUGUGUUUUGUCACGGUGAUAAAUCCUCUGCUCUGCAGCGUUCACCUCCCAGCCCGCGAGAGGAUGAUAUUGGUUUAGAAAAGUCCAAAUAUAAACUCCAAUUUGAAGUUUCUUCACCCGUUUAGUUAUUUUCAGGGACGUCACAAAGAAGGCGUCAAACAACGAUGAGGAGGCGGCUUCGGGAACAAGAGGAGAGUCGUGAGCCUCACCAGGCCAACGGCAGCUCUUGGGUUACAGUUUGUAGCAUUGUCUUGCAGGCAGCCUGACAACGGGCUGUAGUUAAUACUGGUGAUCAUCCUCCCUGGUGUGAAGACAUUAGUGGAGCUGGUUCAGUCCAGUGCAGCAGCACACACGUCUCCAAACGCUGAAUCACAGGUCCCACCGAGUCUAAAACAAGACAUUUCUCGAUCUGGAAUGUGGGAGAAACUCCAUUUCAGUCGCUAAACGGUGGAUUUGUCCGUUUGUUGUGCAGUGAGUCACGUUGGAUCAAAGCGUCCGCUCCGCGUGUGACGGGUGAGGCCUGACUGCAAAGUCCUCGUCAGAGGGCCCAGUAGCCUCCUGUAGCCUGUAGCCUGUAGGGCCCUGUAGCCUGUAGGGCCUGUAGCCUGUAGCGCCCUGUAGCCUGUAGCGCCCUGUAGCCUGUAGGGCCCAGUAGCCUGUAGCCUGCGCCAUGUAGUCUGUGGCGCAUAGCCUUCUAGCCUGUAGCAGUGUAGCCUAUAUCAGUGUAGCAUGUAGCCCGUAGCCUGUAGCAUGUAGCAUCUAGCCUGUAGCAUGUAGCCUGUAGCAUGUAGCCUGGUAGCCUGUAGCCUGUAGCCACCAGUCCUACGGUCAGGCGGUGUGAUUUGUCUUCUUGUAUUUUGAUCUUGGUGAAAGCGGAGUUCUGAGGACAUGGUUCUGAUGAAGGGAUGACCCUGAGGGUGGUCUCUACCCUGGUGGGGUCCGACCCUGAGGGGGGUCCCGACCCUUGGUGGGGUCUCGACCCUGAGGGGGGUCCAAACCCGGAGCAGGGUCCCGACCCCGAACCACAGAGGUGAACCCAAGGCUUCCAGAAGAGCCAGACUCUGGGAUGUUCUCCCGGUCUUCUGUGGGGCGGAGUCUUUCCCGCUGGGAGGGACAGACGGACGGGAACGCCGUGGGGGUCCGGAACGCCGUGGGGGUCCGGCCGUCGUCUGGCCAGCGGGCCGGCCAACCACCUGACAGAGACAGAUGGGAUGCACACGACACACACACACACACACACACACACACACACACACCACACACACACACACACACCACACACACACACACACACACACACACACACACACACACACACAGAUUAAAGCUAGGGUAAGGGUUCUCGGUUCAAUUUCACCAGAGCUGCAGAAUGUCGUUAUUCCAAACUUUAGUUGUGGGUCAGGAUUAUGUGGUGGUGGGGGGACGUUUGGCUCACAGCCCAAAGGUUCUGCUCCCACUGUAGCCCUAACCCAGACCGACCUGUAGACAGCCAGACGCCCCUGACCCCCCUGAACCCUUCAGCGCUGGGUCCCAGCAGGGGGGGAGUGGAGCUUCAAACAGCUUUAAUACGUCGUCCACCUCCGGGUCGUCUCCCUACAGACGGUCUCACUCUGGGUCGUCUCACUCCGGAACCCCUGAGAGGGUUUGGCUCCUCCCCUGAGAGGUGGUUUGGAUCCUCCCCUGAGAGGGUUUGGCUCCUCCCCCUGAAGGGGUUUGGUUCCUCCCCAAGAGGGUUUGGCCCCUCCCCUGAAAGGGAUGGCUCCGCCCCUGAGAGGGUUUGUCCCCCUGAGAGGGUUUGGCCCCUCCCCCUGAGCGGGUUUGGCUCCGCCCCUGACCGCUGCCCUUC
This is a long non-coding RNA of Gadus macrocephalus (Pacific cod), 2046 nucleotides long. RefSeq lists it as uncharacterized. The transcript has 4 exons. NCBI's taxonomy places the organism in Eukaryota, Metazoa, Chordata, Actinopteri, Gadiformes, Gadidae. The record is from RefSeq and is a predicted model, not a curated record.